Molecule: transfer RNA, 72 nt
Filed under: Bretschneidera sinensis
Lineage: Eukaryota; Viridiplantae; Streptophyta; Magnoliopsida; Brassicales; Akaniaceae
Description: tRNA-Ser
Source: RNAcentral
AGAGAUGAUGUGGAAUAGAUAAAAUUCUAAUAACAUUAUAACAUUUUUUAAAAUCAAACAAGAAAAACCCUU